GACGAACGCUGGCGGCGUGCCUAAUACAUGCAAGUAGGACGCAGUUGCGAACGGGUGAGUAACGCGUAGGUAACUAAAUAUGAGAGGGGGAUAAAUAGUGGAAACGAUAGCUAAUACCGCAUACUAGUAGAUGGAACUGCGUUGUAUUAGCUAGUAGGUAGUGUAAUGGCCUACCUAGGCAACGAUACAUAGCCGACCUGGGAGGGAGAUCGGCCCACCCGGGACUGAGACACGGCCCAGACUCCUACGGGAGGCAGCAGUAGGGAAGCUUCGGAAAUGGGGGGAACCCUGACCGAGCAACGCCGCGUUAGUGAAGAAGGUUUUCGGAUCGUAAAGCUCUGUUGUUAAGGAAGCGGUACUUAACCAGAAAGGGACGGCUAACUACGUGCCAGCCGCCGCGGUAAUUC
This 407-nucleotide ribosomal RNA is filed under the name uncultured bacterium. RNAcentral describes it as "partial 16S ribosomal RNA". It matches the Rfam family "Bacterial small subunit ribosomal RNA", at positions 28 to 526 of the family's 1533-position model. The record is from RNAcentral.